This 461-nucleotide ribosomal RNA is filed under the name uncultured bacterium. Its description in RNAcentral is "partial 16S ribosomal RNA". It matches the Rfam family "Bacterial small subunit ribosomal RNA", at positions 28 to 506 of the family's 1533-position model. The record is from RNAcentral.
GACGAACGCUGGCGGCGUGCUUAACACAUGCAAGUCGAGCGGAAAGGCCCUUCGGGGUCCUCGAGCUGCGAACGGGUGAGUAACACGUGAGUAACCUGCCCUAGACUUUGGGAUAACCCUCGGAAACGGGGGCUAAUACCGGAUACUCCUUCUAAAUCGCAUGAUUUGUUUGGGAAAGUUUUUCGGUCUGGGAUGGACUCGCGGCCUAUCAGCCUGUUGGUGGGGUAAUGGCCUACCAAGGCGAGGACGGGUAGCCGGCCUGAGAGGGCGACCGGCCACACUGGGACGGAGACACGGCCCAGACUAAUACGGGAGGCAGGAGUGGGGAAUAUUGAACAAUGGGCGGAAGCAUGAUGCAGGGACGCCGGGUGAGGGAAGACGGCAUUCGGGUGGUAAACAUCUUUCAGCAGGGACGAAGCGUAAGUGACGGUACCUGCAGAAGAAGCGCCGGCCAACUACGU